CGGGUUGUAAAGCACUUUCAGUAGGGAGGAAGGUAGUGUAGUUAACACCUGCAUUAUUUGACGUUACCUACAGAAGAAGCACCGGCUAACUCCGUGCCAGCAGCCGCGGUAAUACGGAGGGUGCGAGCGUUAAUCGGAAUUACUGGGCGUAAAGCGCAUGCAGGUGGCCUGUUAAGUCAGAUGUGAAAGCCCGGGGCGUUAACCUCGGAAUUGCAUUUGAAACUGGCAGGCUAGAGUCUUGUAGAGGGGGGUAGGAAUUUCAGGUGUAGCGAUGAAAUAGCGUAGAGAUCUGAAGGAAUACCAGUGGCGAAGGCGGCCCCCUCGGACAAAGACUGACGCUCAGAUGCGAAAGCGUGGGGAGCAAACAGGAUUAGAUACCCUCGGUAG
This 387-nucleotide ribosomal RNA is filed under the name uncultured bacterium. RNAcentral describes it as "bacterial SSU rRNA". It matches the Rfam family "Bacterial small subunit ribosomal RNA", at positions 419 to 793 of the family's 1533-position model. The record is from RNAcentral.